Molecule: long non-coding RNA, 793 nt
Filed under: Homo sapiens (human)
Lineage: Eukaryota; Metazoa; Chordata; Mammalia; Primates; Hominidae
Description: HSALNT0315148
Source: RNAcentral
CUCAUUAACAAACUAGUUCUGUGCGUCCUUAACACUGAGGCCCCUCGCCUGCAGCUGGAGGCAGCUCUCUGUUCAGCCCCAGUGCAGAGUGACACAGACAGGCGACAGCGUCGCUGAGCACCAACUUCUAUUCCACGGAGGCAGACAGCGAAAACCAUUUCAUAACCAUGGCAAGGCAUGAGAGAAGCACAGGGUAGCUGCAAAGUUUUGGAAAAGACCUCUGCAACAACUGGAAGCACAGUGUACCCAAGUGGAAAGCAGUGGCCAUGUAUGUCAUGAGGACAUUCCAGUAACCCCAUGUGGUAAGGAACCAAGUCAGCCUGCCAACAACCACUGAAAAACUGAGCCCUCCUGCUGACAGCCAUGUGAGAGGAACACCUGGGAAGUGGAUCCUCCAGGCCUGGUCAUACUUCAGAUGACUGCAGCCCAAGCCAACAUCUUGCUUGAGUGGAGCCUCAUGAGUGACUCAGUCAAAACCACACAGCUGAGAUAUUUCCAACCCACAGAUACUGAGAUAAUAAAUGUUUAUUGCUACUAGGUUUCCUUCCUUCCUUCCUUCCUUCCUUUUUCUCUUCUCUUCUCCUUCCUUCCUUCCUCCCUCCCUCUCCUCCUCCUCCGUCUUCUUCCUCUUCCUCUUCUUCCUCUUCCCCUUCCCCUUCCUCUUCCUCCUUCUUUCUUUCUUACUUUCUUUCUCUUUCUUUCUUUCUUUCUCUAUGAAAAUAUCAGGUGUACUAUAUUUUACCUGCCUUCAUGUAUAUUUGAAUAAUUCCAUAAUAAAACUUUUUAAAAUUCA